GACGAACGCUGGCGGCGUGCUUAACACAUGCAAGUCGAACGGUAAGGCCCUUCGGGGUACACGAGUGGCGAACGGGUGAGUAACACGUGGGUGAUCUGCCCUGCACUUCGGGAUAAGCCUGGGAAACUGGGUCUAAUACCGGAUAGGACCCUGGGAUGCAUGUCCUGGGGUGGAAAGCUUUUGCGGUGUGGGAUGGGCCCGCGGCCUAUCAGCUUGUUGGUGGGGUGAUGGCCUACCAAGGCGACGACGGGUAGCCGGCCUGAGAGGGUGACCGGCCACACCGGGACUGAGAUACGGCCCAGACUCCUACGGGAGGCAGCAGUGGGGAAUAUUGCACAAUGGGCGCGAGCCUGAUGCAGCGACGCCGCGUGAGGGAUGACGGCCUUCGGGUUGUAAACCUCUUUCAGCACCGACGAAGCGCAAGUGACGGUAGGUGCAGAAGAAGGACCGGCCAACUACGUGCCAGCCGCCGCAGUAA
RNAcentral lists this ribosomal RNA (478 nucleotides) under uncultured bacterium. RNAcentral describes it as "partial 16S ribosomal RNA". It matches the Rfam family "Bacterial small subunit ribosomal RNA", at positions 28 to 523 of the family's 1533-position model. The record is from RNAcentral.